This 524-nucleotide ribosomal RNA is filed under the name uncultured bacterium. RNAcentral's name for it is "partial 16S ribosomal RNA". It matches the Rfam family "Bacterial small subunit ribosomal RNA", at positions 28 to 523 of the family's 1533-position model. The record is from RNAcentral.
GACGAACGCUGGCGGCGUGCCUAAUACAUGCAAGUCGAGCGCAGGAAGCCGUCUGAACCCUUCGGGGGGACGACGGUGGAAUGAGCGGCGGACGGGUGAGUAACACGUAAAGAACCUGCCCAUAGGUCUGGGAUAACCACGAGAAAUCGGGGCUAAUACCGGAUGUGUCAUCGGACCGCAUGGUCCGAUGAUGAAAGGCGCUCCGGCGUCUCCCAUGGAUGGCUUUGCGGUGCAUUAGCUAGUUGGUGAGGUAACGGCCCACCAAGGCGACGAUGCAUAGCCGACCUGAGAGGGUGAUCGGCCACACUGGGACUGAGACACGGCCCAGACUCCUACGGGAGGCAGCAGUAGGGAAUCUUCCACAAUGGACGAAAGUCUGAUGGAGCAACGCCGCGUGAACGAUGAAGGCUUUCGGGUCGUAAAGUUCUGUUGUAAGGGAAGAACAAGUGCCGCAGGCAAUGGCGGCACCUUGACGGUACCUUGCGAGAAAGCCACGGCUAACUACGUACCAGCAGCCGCCGCCG